AUGGAGGGCGACGACCGGAGCGCCCCGCUGCUGGCCAACGGCGCCGGACGGCCGUCGCUCCGGCGGCGCGACUCGGCGCGGUCGCUGCGCAGCAGCUUCCUGCGCCGGCUGCCGGACAAGAUGCGCACCGAGCUGGACCCCGAGCGCGGCGCCGACGUCGACGUCGCCCGCGUCAAGGACCUCUCCCAAGGUGAGAGGGAGUACUACAGGAAGCAGCUCGCCGCGCUGAGGACCUUCGAGGAGGUGGAGGCCCUGUGCAUGCCCGGCGAGUUCGGCUCGGACGACGAUGGCGACCCCGACGCCGACGACGCCGACGACGAGGAGCAGAAGCAGAGCGAGUUCGCCAUGAAGAUAUCCAACUACGCCAACAUCGUCCUCCUGGCCUUCAAGGUGUAUGCCACGAUCAGGACGGGGUCCAUGGCGAUCGCGGCGUCCACGCUGGACUCGCUGCUGGACCUGAUGGCCGGCGGCAUCCUCUGGUUCACGCACCUCUCCAUGAAGAAGGUGAACAUCUACAAGUACCCCAUCGGCAAGCUGCGCGUCCAGCCGGUGGGGAUCAUCGUCUUCGCCGCCAUCAUGGCCACUCUAGGCUUCCAGGUCCUGGUGCAGGCGAUCGAGCAGCUGGUGGAGAACGAGCCCGGCGACAAGCUGACCUCGGAGCAGCUGACAUGGCUCUACUCCAUCAUGCUCUCGGCCACCGCCGUCAAGCUCGCCCUCUGGUUCUACUGCAGGAGCUCGGGGAACAGCAUCGUCCGGGCGUACGCCAAGGACCACUACUUCGAUGUGAUCACCAACGUCGUCGGCCUGGUGGCCGCCGUCCUGGGAGACAGGUUCCUGUGGUGGAUCGACCCCGCCGGGGCCGUGCUCCUCGCCGUGUACACCAUUGCGAACUGGUCCGGGACCGUGCUUGAGCAAGCAGUCUCGCUGGUGGGGCGGAGCGCGCCGCCGGAGAUGCUGCAGAUGCUGACCUACCUCGCCAUGAAGCACGACGCGCGCGUGCAGCGGGUCGACACGGUCCGGGCCUACAGCUUCGGCGCCCUCUACUUCGUCGAGGUCGACAUCGAGCUCUCGGAGGACAUGCGGCUGCGGGAGGCGCACGCCAUCGGGGAGUCGCUGCAGGAGAGGAUCGAGAAGCUGCCGGAAGUGGAGCGGGCGUUUGUCCAUGCGGACUUCGAGAGCACCCAUAAGCCGGAGCACACGGUCCGGAGCAGGCUGCCGGCGACCGAGCCCUGA
RNAcentral lists this ribosomal RNA (1233 nucleotides) under Triticum aestivum (bread wheat). Its description in RNAcentral is "partial small subunit ribosomal RNA". Lineage: Eukaryota; Viridiplantae; Streptophyta; Magnoliopsida; Poales; Poaceae. The record is from RNAcentral.